Molecule: ribosomal RNA, 409 nt
Filed under: uncultured Gammaproteobacteria bacterium
Lineage: Bacteria; Pseudomonadati; Pseudomonadota; Gammaproteobacteria
Description: bacterial SSU rRNA
Rfam family: Bacterial small subunit ribosomal RNA
Source: RNAcentral
GAGUUUGAUCCUGGCUCAGAUUGAACGCUGGCGGCAUGCCUAACACAUGCAAGUCGCGCGGAGUGUAGCAAUACACUUAGCGGCGGACGGGUGAGGAAUACAUAGGAAUUUGCCUUUAGGUGGGGGAUAGCCCAGGGAAACUUGGAGUAAUACCGCAUGAUGUCGUGAGACCAAAGCCGGGGACCGCAAGGCCUGGCGCCUUUAGAGAAGCCUAUGUCUGAUUAGCUAGUUGGUGAGGUAAUGGCUCACCAAGGCAACGAUCAGUAGCUGGUCUGAGAGGACGAUCAGCCACACCGGAACUGAGACACGGUCCGGACUCCUACGGGAGGCAGCAGUGGGGAAUAUUGGACAAUGGGCGCAAGCCUGAUCCAGCAAUGCCGCGUGUGUGAAGAAGGCCUUCGGUUGUAAG